This 433-nucleotide ribosomal RNA is filed under the name uncultured bacterium. Its description in RNAcentral is "partial 16S ribosomal RNA". It matches the Rfam family "Bacterial small subunit ribosomal RNA", at positions 29 to 507 of the family's 1533-position model. The record is from RNAcentral.
AGCGAACGCUGGCGGCAGGCCUAACACAUGCAAGCCGAACGGAUCCUUCGGGAUUAGUGGCGGACGGGUGAGUAACACGUGGGAACGUGCCCUUUGGUUCGGAACAACUCAGGGAAACUUGAGCUAAUACCGGAUGUGCCCUUCGGGGGAAAGAUUUAUCGCCAUUGGAGCGGCCCGCGUCUGAUUAGCUAGUUGGUGAGGUAACGGCCCACCAAGGCGAUGAUCAGUAGCUGGUCUGAGAGGAUGAUCAGCCACACUGGGACUGAGACACGGCCCAGACUCCUACGGGAGGCAGCAGUGGGGAAUCUUGCGCAAUGGGCGAAAGCCUGACGCAGCCAUGCCGCGUGAAUGAUGAAGGUCUUAGGAUUGUAAAAUUCUUUCAGCGGGGACGAUAAUGACGGUACCCGCAGAAGAAGCUCCGGCUAACUUCGUG